This 338-nucleotide small RNA is filed under the name Arabidopsis thaliana (thale cress). RNAcentral's name for it is "ATSL266860". The stretch from base 70 to 152 matches the Rfam family "MIR5643 microRNA precursor family". The record is from RNAcentral. Lineage: Eukaryota; Viridiplantae; Streptophyta; Magnoliopsida; Brassicales; Brassicaceae.
CAUGACAUCUAGUCAUAUUUGACUCCAAAAAACUAACCAAGCUUCUUCUUGCUUCUCAAACCUAUGAUAGUGUAGCCGUAAUCCGUAUGAGUCUUUGUCUUUGUAUCUUCUAACAAGGAUACAAUAUUUAGGCUUUUAAGAUCUGGUUGCGAAUCUGGUUGUUAUACUCACUCACACACAUGAAAUCUAGUCAUAUUUCACUCCAAAACACUAAUCAACCUUCUUCUUGCUUCUCAAAGCUUUGAUGGUGUAGCCGUAGUCCAAAUGAAUCGUUGGCUUUGUAUCUUCUAACAAGGAAACAAUACUUAGGCUUUUAAGAUCCGAUCGAUGUUCUAGUU